GGUGGGUUAUUAGGAGCUGUAGGGCUUGGGGUGGGGUGUAAUUUGUAGCUGCGGGGUUGUGUGGGUGCUGUGGUGGUCUAUAGGGUGUGGCUUUGUGGGGGGCUACAGUGGGCUUGUGGAGCUUUGAGGGGCGUGUGGGCUCUGAGGUGUAAUUUGGGGCUUUAAAGGUGUGUUUUGGGUGCCCCAUUGGUCCGUAGUGAGCUGCAGGAGGACGCCCUGUGGGGCUGUAGGGGAGCGUUGGGGCUGUAGGACCUGAAGUGGGAUGUAAUUUGGGGUCGUAGUGGUGUGGGGCUGUAGUGGGCUACGAGUGUAAAGGGCUGCCCUGUGGGGCUGCAGCAGUGGACACCGUGGAGCUCGGGGUAGGACGUAGUUUGUGUCUGCAAGGCUGUAUGGGGGCUGUGGGAUCCAUCCCAUGGGGCUGUAGGGGGAUGCCCUGAGGGGCUGCAGUGGGUUGUAGGGUCAAGGGGAUGCUCCAUGAGCUGCGUGGGGGAGGGGCUGUAGCAAAACCCCAGCAUGAUGUGACCUCGUCCAGCUCCUGCGCUGAUCCCUGUUAAAUUAAAUUGUUUCACCCAGAACCCCCACCAAAGUGAA
Molecule: long non-coding RNA, 591 nt
Filed under: Gallus gallus (chicken)
Lineage: Eukaryota; Metazoa; Chordata; Aves; Galliformes; Phasianidae
Description: long non-coding RNA NONGGAT000048
Source: RNAcentral